RNAcentral lists this ribosomal RNA (410 nucleotides) under uncultured bacterium. RNAcentral describes it as "bacterial SSU rRNA". It matches the Rfam family "Bacterial small subunit ribosomal RNA", at positions 370 to 772 of the family's 1533-position model. The record is from RNAcentral.
AAUGGACGAAAGUCUGACGGAGCGACGCCGCGUGGAUGAAGAAGGCCGAAAGGUUGUAAAAUCCUUUUGCUGAGGAAGAAUAAGUGUGGGAGGGAAUGCCCGCAUGAUGACAUGAAUCGGCGAAUAAGCCCCGGCCAACUACGUGCCAGCAGCCGCGGUAACACGUAGGGGGCGAGCGUUGUUCGGAAUUACUGGGCGUAAAGGGCAUGUAGGCGGUUAUGUAAGCCUGGCGUGAAAGUCCACAGCUUAACUGUGGGAUUGCGUUGGGAACUAGAUGACUAGAGUUACGGAGAGGGAGCUAGAAUUCCUGGUGUAGGGGUGGAAUCUGUAGAGAUCAGGAAGAAUACCGAUGGCGAAGGCAAGCUCCUGGCCGAUGACUGACGCUGAGGUGCGAAAGUGUGGGGAUCAAA